CCUACCUACUAGCUCUGGGGAAUUUUCCAAAUCAAUACAACUAUCAGUUCAGCAGUCAUCAGACAUCCAUGUUAAAAGUUAUUUGCUAGAUUAAUACCAGCCAUAUGACUUUACAGUAUACAAUCUUUGCCAGCGAGAUGAGGUGGGUCCAGGUGGACAGACUCCAGAAAUGACUUCAGCAUUGGAAACACCAUCUAACUUUUCCAGCCAGUUGGCAGAGGGAGAGAGAGAGAGAAAUUGUUAUCAUAGAGUGCCAACCCAUGAAGCGGCAGAAAAUUACUAUCACCAGAGCCC
Long non-coding RNA from Polypterus senegalus (gray bichir), 294 nucleotides. RefSeq lists it as uncharacterized. NCBI's taxonomy places the organism in Eukaryota, Metazoa, Chordata, Cladistia, Polypteriformes, Polypteridae. The record is from RefSeq and is a predicted model, not a curated record. The transcript is spliced from 3 exons.